This 425-nucleotide ribosomal RNA is filed under the name uncultured bacterium. RNAcentral's name for it is "bacterial SSU rRNA". It matches the Rfam family "Bacterial small subunit ribosomal RNA", at positions 355 to 775 of the family's 1533-position model. The record is from RNAcentral.
UCGGGAAUUUUGGGCAAUGGGCGAAAGCCUGACCCAGCAACGCCGCGUGAAGGAUGAAAUCCUUCGGGAUGUAAACUUCGCAAGAACGGGAAGAAUAAGUCUGUGCAAAUACCACGGACGAUGACGGUACCGUUUGUAAGCUCCGGCUAACUCCGUGCCAGCAGCCGCGGUAAUACGGGGGGAGCAAGCGUUGUUCGGAUUUACUGGGCGUAAAGGGCGCGUAGGCGGCACCGCAAGUCGGUUGUGAAAUCUCCGGGCUUAACUCGGAAAGGUCAACUGAUACUGCGGAGCUAGAGUGCGGAAGGGGCAACUGGAAUUCUCGGUGUAGCGGUGAAAUGCGUAGAUAUCGAGAGGAACACCUGCGGCGAAGGCGGGUUGCUGGGCCGACACUGACGCUGAGGCGCGAAAGCUAGGGGAGCGAACGG